CAGCGGCGCGUUCCAGCACGCAGAAGCCCUUUCCCAGCCGUUACCUCCCUGGCACUGCGCAACGGCCCCCGCCCCGGCCCAGGGAGUCUCUCCAGAAGCGGGAGACUAAAUAACCAGGACAAAGGAGCGCGCCUCUAUUUACAAGGAUAAACUUUGAUGCCAUACCAACACUACCUUGAUGGACCUGAGCAGAAACCUGCCAGAUAUGGAUGGUAUUAUUAUUUCUAGCUUAUAACUGGAAGAAGUGAAGUACAUAAGAGUUAAAAGUCAUACAGUAGGGGCAGAGGUGCAGCAGAAUACUUGUUAUGAAGUUGGAAGACUGAAUAAAUGUGUCAAAGAACGAAGGGAUAAUAUAGCUCAGUACAUAUGAUUGAAAAUGACUCUUGUUUUAUAGCCUUCUGGAGGUCUUCCCGUAAAACAGCAAGACGACACUGUUCAAUUAAUGGUUUUGAAGAGCGCUUUUGCCCGGCUGCGGGGAGACGAGCGCAAUAAUCAGAC
RNAcentral lists this long non-coding RNA (498 nucleotides) under Heterocephalus glaber (naked mole-rat). Its description in RNAcentral is "lncRNA (ENSHGLG00000044366.1)". Lineage: Eukaryota; Metazoa; Chordata; Mammalia; Rodentia; Bathyergidae. The record is from RNAcentral.